UUUACACAUGAAGAUUCAGAGGCAUAAGGAGGUUAAGUGACAUCUCCAAAGUCUUAUGGGUAGUAAGUGGCAGAACCCAGAAUUUGAGCUUAGAUGGUCUAAUUCUAGAAUCUGUUCUCUUAAUUCUUUGCUCAUUGCUUUAAAUAAUCAUAUAGAAUGCCUGAGUCCAUACCACAAAUAUACAUAAGAGGACACCUGAAAAGCAAUGAAAAAAACAGGUGUCCAAGAAACCCCAUUUAACACCAUCUGGCUGGGUGAUAAAAGGCAACAUAAAUACUUUUCAUUGGAUUGGAAUUUUGCAAUUCUCAAGUGAUUUAACAUAUAUUCUAACAUUUAGUUGCAACUUUUUGAGGGUGAUGCAAGUUAUUUUUAAUUCUAUUUUAUAAAUGACUGAAUGUAAAAGAGGCGAAGUCUCACUUUAAUAAGUUGACCUUUUCUAUGGAUGGAUUUUAUCCCUACCCAAGUCCUCUAUCCAUCAGGAACACAGCUUUAAUUUCUGAUCAGUUCAGUGCAGAAACAAUGAGCCCUUGGAGACCUAAGUCAUGAGUUCAACUAAUGAUCAUUGGUUCUCAAGUGAGGCUACUUUUGGUUGUCCCAGCAGUGACACUGAGGGGUGCUACUAGCAUCAACGAGGUAUGUCUAGGGAUGCUACUCAACAUCCUACCACACAUAGGAUACCCUGCCCAACAAAUGCCUUACCUAAAAUAUCCAUAUGCUGAGAUCUAUUCCAAAAUAUGUGUUCUAUAUUCUAUUCAUUUUUUUUGCUUCUAUCAAUUUGACA
Molecule: long non-coding RNA, 781 nt
Filed under: Felis catus (domestic cat)
Lineage: Eukaryota; Metazoa; Chordata; Mammalia; Carnivora; Felidae
Description: lncRNA (ENSFCAG00000047472.1)
Source: RNAcentral